AAGCUUCCCAUGUAGCUUUAACACUUUCUCCUAAAAAUGUUUCUAAAUAUCUAUACAUUUCUAAUGAUUCCAUAUUAUCUGCUAAUCUAAUAUAAUGGCCUAAUAUUGUAUUCUUCCAUACUUCUAUUAUAUUAUUCCAAGUUUGAGGGUCACGUGCUGUAAUGUUUAAUAUCUGUGGUUUAUGUGAUGUCUGAAAUUUUAUUUUAGGUUCUAAAGGUCUAACUUUUCCUCUAGCUAUAUAAUUUCUUUCUUUAU
Molecule: long non-coding RNA, 255 nt
Filed under: Olea europaea (common olive)
Lineage: Eukaryota; Viridiplantae; Streptophyta; Magnoliopsida; Lamiales; Oleaceae
Description: long non-coding RNA (OEUR_LNC014275)
Source: RNAcentral